AUCCAGCUGAUGAGUCCAAAAUAGGACGAAACACGCGUCAAACUGGAU
This 48-nucleotide non-coding RNA is filed under the name Schistosoma margrebowiei. Lineage: Eukaryota; Metazoa; Platyhelminthes; Trematoda; Strigeidida; Schistosomatidae. The record is from RNAcentral.